Molecule: ribosomal RNA, 239 nt
Filed under: Bacillus sp. (in: firmicutes)
Lineage: Bacteria; Bacillati; Bacillota; Bacilli; Caryophanales; Bacillaceae
Description: Bacillus sp. (in: Bacteria) partial 16S ribosomal RNA
Rfam family: Bacterial small subunit ribosomal RNA
Source: RNAcentral
GGAAUUAUUGGGGGCGUAAGCGCGCGCAGGUGGUUUCUUAAGUCUGAUGUGAAAGCCCACGGCUCAACCGUGGAGGGUCAUUGGAAACUGGGAGACUUGAGUGCAGAAGAGGAAAGUGGAAUUCCAUGUGUAGCGGUGAAAUGCGUAAAGAUAUGGAGGAACACCAGUGGCGAAGGCGACUUUCUGGACUGUAAAUGACACUGAGGCGCGAAAGCGUGGGGAGCAAACAGGAUUAAUAC